RNAcentral lists this long non-coding RNA (1179 nucleotides) under Nicotiana benthamiana. Its description in RNAcentral is "long non-coding RNA (NBEN_LNC028151)". Lineage: Eukaryota; Viridiplantae; Streptophyta; Magnoliopsida; Solanales; Solanaceae. The record is from RNAcentral.
UAGUACAUAAAUUUCUCAGAGAAUGAGAAAAUAGAUUAAGAAACAAAAUUUGAAAUUAAAACCAAAGAGAUGAUAAGAACUAAAUGGACUAGAUACCUCAUUGACGUAUAUACUUAUUGAACUCUUCAAAAUUUAGAUCCAAUUAUCUGAAUUCUUUUUAAAAAAACAUAAAAACUUCUGUACCUAAUCACCAAAUAUUUAACAUACCAAAAGUCGUUUUAGAAAAAAAAGUGCAAUAGAUACAUACACUUCAAUCUGUGUUAUUUCUCGUGGGAAUCCUCUUUUACCACCAGUGGUAGAUCAGCGGCAUUUUAAAUCCAGCUCACGUAUUUGAAUCGAAAAAUAACCAAAGUCUUGUAUUUUCUUCAACUUCAAGAUAUGAUGAGUCGACAUUAUUGCUUUUUUCUGGGGGGGGUGGGGUGGGGGUAGCAAUGCUAGUUCGUCUCUGACUGACGAAUUGACACAAAUAUUCCCUCAACUUCAAGAUAUGAUGAGUCGACAUUAUUGCUUUUUUCUGGGGGGGGUGGGGUGGGGUGGGGUAAUCCAUUUACAAACAUCUUCUUUUUCUGUUUCUGGUACAUCCAAUAGAAUUGACAUCCAUAACUCUAAGAAUUUGCCUCUCAUCUACUAAUUUCCUCUUGGAUAAAGCUACUUUUUUUGGUUUCUUUGGUGCAGGUGGACAGCUGAGAUUUUUUGGGAUAAAAAACUUAGGUGAAGUUGGUGUUAGACAUUUAUUUUCUUCACUAGUACUACUACUACUGCAUUUUUCAGAAUUCAUAAACUUCAAAUUCUGAUUCUGUCUCUGUCCAUCAACAGUCUUGAAAAAUGAGUCAACUUCAUCUCUUGCUACGAUCUCGAAAAAUUGCAGCUCGUGAUCUAAUAAUUUCCUUUUACAGGAAGGUAUCCUUUUAGGUUUCUUUGGUGCAGUUGGACAGUUGAGAAUUUUAGGGAGUAAAAACUGAGGUGAUUUUGGUGUGUGACAUUCUUCUUCAUUGCUAAUAGUACUACUGCAUCUUUCUUCUGUAUUACUAGAAUUUUGAGAAGUAGUAAUCUUGAUAUUUGGUAACUGGUUUUCCAAGAAAUCUUGUUGGAAUUCUAGAUCUGUGGACAUAGCUUUUUUGGGCAGAGUUUAGAAUUUUUGAGGAAUUGAAAGAGAGAAAGAGAGAAAAAAGGGAGGUG